UAGGGAAUCUUCCACAAUGGACGCAAGUCUGAUGGAGCAACGCCGCGUGAGUGAAGAAGGUUUUCGGACCGUAAAGCUCUGUUGUUGGUGAAGAAGGAUAGAGGUAGUAACUGGCCUUUAUUUGACGGUAAUCAACCAGAAAGUCACGGCUAACUACGUGCCAGCAGCCGCGGUAAUACGUAGGUGGCAAGCGUUGUCCGGAUUUAUUGGGCGUAAAGCGAGCGCAGGCGGAAGAAUAAGUCUGAUGUGAAAGCCCUCGGCUUAACCGAGGAAUUGCAUCGGAAACUGUUUUCGUUGAGUGCAGAAGAGGAGAGUAGAACUCCAUGUGUAGCGGUGGAAUGCGUAGAUAUAUGGCAAGAAUACCAGUGGCGAAGGCGGCUCUCUGGUCUGCAACUGACGCUGAGGCUCGAA
This 411-nucleotide ribosomal RNA is filed under the name uncultured bacterium. RNAcentral describes it as "partial 16S ribosomal RNA". It matches the Rfam family "Bacterial small subunit ribosomal RNA", at positions 355 to 757 of the family's 1533-position model. The record is from RNAcentral.